CCUGCCCUUAGAAGCAUUGCAGGUGUGGCUGCUGUGUCACAUGUGUGUCAGUAGGUGACAAAGAGGAGAGAGGCUAUGUCUACACUCAGUAUUCUGACCCAGGGACAUCUGAAUGAUUCAUGGCCUAAUAUU
Molecule: small nucleolar RNA, 132 nt
Organism: Rattus norvegicus (Norway rat)
Lineage: Eukaryota; Metazoa; Chordata; Mammalia; Rodentia; Muridae
Product: small nucleolar RNA SNORA17
Source: Ensembl